Molecule: ribosomal RNA, 253 nt
Filed under: uncultured bacterium
Lineage: Bacteria
Description: partial 16S ribosomal RNA
Rfam family: Bacterial small subunit ribosomal RNA
Source: RNAcentral
UACAGAGGGGGCUAGCGUUGUUCGGAAUUACUGGGCGUAAAGGGUGCGUAGGCGGCUUUCCAAGUCAGGUGUGAAAUCCCGGGGCUUAACUCCGGAAUUGCACUUGAAACUAGAAAGCUGGAGGACGAGAGAGGAUAGUAGAAUUCCUAGUGUAGGAGUGAAAUCCGUAGAUAUUAGGAGGAAUACCAGUGGCGAAGGCGGCUAUCUGGCUCGUUUCUGACGCUGAGGCACGAAAGCGUGGGGAUCAAACAGG